This 253-nucleotide ribosomal RNA is filed under the name uncultured bacterium. RNAcentral's name for it is "partial 16S ribosomal RNA". It matches the Rfam family "Bacterial small subunit ribosomal RNA", at positions 524 to 776 of the family's 1533-position model. The record is from RNAcentral.
UACGUAGGUGGCAAGCGUUGUCCGGAAUUAUUGUGCGUAAAGCGCGCGCAGGCGGUCCUUUAAGUCUGAUGUGAAAGCCCACGGCUCAACCGUGGAGGGUCAUUGGAAACUGGGGGACUUGAGUACAGAAGAGAAGAGUGGAAUUCCACGUGUAGCGGUGAAAUGCGUAGAGAUGUGGAGGAACACCAGUGGCGAAGGCGACUCUUUGGUCUGUAACUGACGCUGAGGCGCGAAAGCGUGGGGAGCAAACAGG